AGGCUGAAGUCCGNCAGGCUUGGACGUUUAGUUGUUAACUAGUUUUUUAUAGGAUCAAGGCCUAUCAGUCUAG
Molecule: transfer RNA, 73 nt
Filed under: Cylindrophis maculatus
Lineage: Eukaryota; Metazoa; Chordata; Lepidosauria; Squamata; Cylindrophiidae
Description: tRNA-Asn
Source: RNAcentral